This 720-nucleotide ribosomal RNA is filed under the name Firmicutes bacterium GM64. Its description in RNAcentral is "bacterial SSU rRNA". It matches the Rfam family "Bacterial small subunit ribosomal RNA", at positions 62 to 762 of the family's 1533-position model. Lineage: Bacteria; Bacillati; Bacillota. The record is from RNAcentral.
UCGAGCGAAUGGAUUAAGAGCUUGCUCUUAUGAAGUUAGCGGCGGACGGGUGAGUAACACGUGGGUAACCUGCCCAUAAGACUGGGAUAACUCCGGGAAACCGGGGCUAAUACCGGAUAACAUUUUGCACCGCAUGGUGCGAAAUUCAAAGGCGGCUUCGGCUGUCACUUAUGGAUGGACCCGCGUCGCAUUAGCUAGUUGGUGAGGUAACGGCUCACCAAGGCAACGAUGCGUAGCCGACCUGAGAGGGUGAUCGGCCACACUGGGACUGAGACACGGCCCAGACUCCUACGGGAGGCAGCAGUAGGGAAUCUUCCGCAAUGGACGAAAGUCUGACGGAGCAACGCCGCGUGAGUGAUGAAGGCUUUCGGGUCGUAAAACUCUGUUGUUAGGGAAGAACAAGUGCUAGUUGAAUAAGCUGGCACCUUGACGGUACCUAACCAGAAAGCCACGGCUAACUACGUGCCAGCAGCCGCGGUAAUACGUAGGUGGCAAGCGUUAUCCGGAAUUAUUGGGCGUAAAGCGCGCGCAGGUGGUUUCUUAAGUCUGAUGUGAAAGCCCACGGCUCAACCGUGGAGGGUCAUUGGAAACUGGGAGACUUGAGUGCAGAAGAGGAAAGUGGAAUUCCAUGUGUAGCGGUGAAAUGCGUAGAGAUAUGGAGGAACACCAGUGGCGAAGGCGACUUUCUGGUCUGUAACUGACACUGAGGCGCGAAAGCGU